Long non-coding RNA from Octopus sinensis (East Asian common octopus), 148 nucleotides. RefSeq lists it as uncharacterized. The transcript has 2 exons. NCBI's taxonomy places the organism in Eukaryota, Metazoa, Mollusca, Cephalopoda, Octopoda, Octopodidae. The record is from RefSeq and is a predicted model, not a curated record.
UCACGAAAAUAGAAAACCGAACUUCUUUAGUACUAUAGCUAAAAUCUCAUGAGAUCUAUCACUCACUUAUCCAGAAGAUGUUACUCUCCUCAAUGAAAUAAACCAAAAAGUUGUCUUCAAACUUUGAAGCGAUAUUCCCAAGAAGGUG